This 1047-nucleotide ribosomal RNA is filed under the name Triticum aestivum (bread wheat). Its description in RNAcentral is "partial small subunit ribosomal RNA". Lineage: Eukaryota; Viridiplantae; Streptophyta; Magnoliopsida; Poales; Poaceae. The record is from RNAcentral.
AUGGGGCUCCGCAGGAGAGGGCCGCCGCUGCUGAUGCUUCUCGGCCUGGCGGCCACGGCCUUGGCCGCCUCCGCCUCCGCCUCCGAGGGCGACGCCGAUCCGCUCUACAGAGCUUGCUUCGAAGAAUGUCAAAGGACUGGCACCCUGAAAGAGGAUUCUAUCAAACACUGUGUUGUGCCGACCGAUGACCAGCCCGCUGACAAGGCAUGGUACGCGCACGAGCCAUUGUACCUCCAGUGGAAGGAGUGGAACUGCAACAGCGAAUGCCGAUACCAUUGUAUGAUGGAAAGAGAGCAGGAAAGGGAAGAGCUUGGGCUAGGGCCCGUCAAGUAUCAUGGCAAAUGGCCUCUCAAACGUGCUUCUGUGUUUCAGGAACCUCUUUCUGCAGCUCUAUCUGCCCUGACUCUUCUCGUGCAGUUUAAUGGAUGGCUAUCGUUUUUCCUCUUGCUUUCUUACAAGCUGCCUCUUAGGCCAGAAACUCAUGCCACAUACUACGAAUACACCGGAUUAUGGCACAUCAACGCGCUCUUGGCCAUGAAUUCGUGGUUCUGGUGUGCCAUAUAUCACAGUUGUGAUACUGCUUGGACAGAAAAGCUGUAUUUGUCAUCAGCUGCUGCUUUUUUUGGUUACUCCCUCAUCUUGGCCAUACUGCGAACUUCGAAUCUGAGGGAUGAAGCUUCAAGAGUGAUGGUUGCAGCUCCAAUUCUGGCUUUUGUGACAACCCACAUUUUGUACCUCAACUUCUACGAACUCGACAAAGGCCUGAACAUGAAGGUUUGCACUGUUAUUAGCGUUGCUCAGCUCCUUCUAUGGACAGUGUGGGCUGCUAUCACAAGGCAUCCUUCACGCCUGAAGGUCGCCUUUGUUGCCAUCGGUGGUGUCCUCUCACUAUACCUGGAAGCACAUGAUGUCCCUCCGCGAUGGGGAUAUGUUGAUGGACACGCAAUCUGCCUCGCCAUGGCUAUCCCCCUGUCAUACCUCUGGUGGAGCUUCGCCAAGGAAGACGCCGAGAUGCGCACGGCGGCAAUCAUGAAGAAGAAACGAUAA